RNAcentral lists this ribosomal RNA (473 nucleotides) under uncultured bacterium. RNAcentral's name for it is "bacterial SSU rRNA". It matches the Rfam family "Bacterial small subunit ribosomal RNA", at positions 355 to 825 of the family's 1533-position model. The record is from RNAcentral.
UGGGGAAUAUUGGACAAUGGGCGAAAGCCUGAUCCAGCCAUGCCGCGUGUGUGAAGAAGGUCUUCGGAUUGUAAAGCACUUUAAGUUGGGAGGAAGGGUUGUAGAUUAAUACUCUGCAAUUUUGACGUUACCGACAGAAUAAGCACCGGCUAACUCUGUGCCAGCAGCCGCGGUAAUACAGAGGGUGCAAGCGUUAAUCGGAAUUACUGGGCGUAAAGCGCGCGUAGGUGGUUAGUUAAGUUGGAUGUGAAAUCCCCGGGCUCAACCUGGGAACUGCAUUCAAAACUGACUGACUAGAGUAUGGUAGAGGGUGGUGGAAUUUCCUGUGUAGCGGUGAAAUGCGUAGAUAUAGGAAGGAACACCAGUGGCGAAGGCGACCACCUGGACUGAUACUGACACUGAGGUGCGAAAGCGUGGGGAGCAAACAGGAUUAGAUACCCCCCGUAGUCCCUGAGCGGGCUGGCAAGGCGCAU